UUGGCUCUUGCCCCUUUCUCUGUUAGACAACAAGGCAGUUCAAAACUCUCACAGAUACUGUCCUUCACCACCAAACCUCACAGAAAAGCACCUGUCCGCAGCCCACCGUACGGAGCACAUCGCCACGGCCACUGUCGCAAAUCACCACCGCCACAGCCUCAGAUCACAGUUUGAUUUCGAAACUUCUAGGGUUUGAUUUCUAGACAUAAAUCCCAAAUUCAAGCUCAAAACAGGCCAUCCAGAUGGAUAGCUUGGAGGAUCAUCUUUUUGCAAGAAGCGACAAUAGAGGAGAGAACAAUGAUGGAACACAAAAGGAGGCCCCUUUCUAUUGAUCAAAGCGGUCUCACUACUUUUUCACCAAAACGACACAAGGCUAAUUUGUCCAUCUCCUCCAAGGAGAGGAAAGAGAAGCUUAGCAAAAGAAUUGGGGCUCUGCAACAGCUUGUUUCACCAUAUGGGAAGGGUUUCGAGCAUGGUGUUGUAGUCUCCGAUCGGGUACACUAGUAAGGCAUUGUGGAUCGUUGGUACCACAAACUCCUUAAUCAUCGAGAUGAAGAACAAGGAAUCAUGGUUUUUGUUUUGCUAUAGUUUUGGCCCUUGAGGCUACAAGUUUCCAGUUAUGUAGUGGAGGUGUUUGUGGCAAGGUCUCUGAAAGGAUUUUGGGGUAUCCUUUUGUUUUGUUUUGUUUGUGCUUACCUUUGGAAGUGUUGAAUACCUUAAGAGACAGUUUUCAGCUAUUCUUCACUUUCUGAUUUCCUUGGUGGGUUUCUCAAUGGAAGUCUUCUUCCAUAUCAAUGAUCUGAAUCUAUAUAGAUGGAUAAACUUGUGCACGAAGCUAAAUUGUACAGGACUAAUUGGCACUUGUUACAUUUUUUGAAGAAUUAUAUAUUUUUGCAUAGAUUUGUAUCGAAAAUAUUUGGGUAGUACAAGUUAUAUUUUUUAGAUGCAUAUGGAUAAAAAUUUAAAACAUAAUACCUAAUUGUUAUGUUUUAAAUUUUUAUACUAGAUGGAUGUGAAUUGGAUGAUUAUAUGGAUUUCACGACCUUUUUAAUUGGACGAUUAUGUAGUUUGGAAUUACUUG
This is a non-coding RNA of Camellia sinensis, 1081 nucleotides long. Lineage: Eukaryota; Viridiplantae; Streptophyta; Magnoliopsida; Ericales; Theaceae. The record is from RefSeq and is a predicted model, not a curated record.